This 497-nucleotide ribosomal RNA is filed under the name uncultured bacterium. RNAcentral's name for it is "partial 16S ribosomal RNA". It matches the Rfam family "Bacterial small subunit ribosomal RNA", at positions 28 to 507 of the family's 1533-position model. The record is from RNAcentral.
GAUGAACGCUGGCGGCGUGCCUAAUACAUGCAAGUCGAGCGAACAGACGAGGAGCUUGCCCCUUUGACGUUAGCGGCGGACGGGUGAGUAACACGUAGGUAACCUACCUAUAAGACUGGGAUAACUUCGGGAAACCGGAGCUAAUACCGGAUAAUAUUUCGAACCGCAUGGUUCGAUAGUGAAAGAUGGCUUUGCUAUCACUUAUAGAUGGACCUGCGCCGUAUUAGCUAGUUGGUAAGGUAACGGCUUACCAAGGCAACGAUACGUAGCCGACCUGAGAGGGUGGAUCGCCACAAUUGAACCGAGAACACGUCCAGACCUCUAAGGGAAGGCAGAGGAGGGAAAUCUUCGCCAAGGGCCGAAGGCCUGACGAGGAAACGCCGCUGAGGUGUGGAAGGUUUUCGAUUCUAAAACCUCGUUAAUUGGGAAAAACCAAACUUGAAAUUAACUGGCCCGUUCUGAAGGGUACCAAAUAAAAAGGCAACGGCUACUACGUG